This 524-nucleotide ribosomal RNA is filed under the name Naganishia liquefaciens. RNAcentral's name for it is "eukaryotic LSU rRNA". It matches the Rfam family "Eukaryotic large subunit ribosomal RNA", at positions 97 to 625 of the family's 3401-position model. Lineage: Eukaryota; Fungi; Basidiomycota; Tremellomycetes; Filobasidiales; Filobasidiaceae. The record is from RNAcentral.
AAGGGGAAGAGCUCAAAUUUGAAAUCUAGUAGCCUUCGGCUGCUCGAGUUGUAAUCUAGAGAAGUGUUUUCCGUGCCGGCCCAUGUACAAGUCCCUUGGAACAGGGCGUCAUAGAGGGUGAGAAUCCCGUCCUUGACAUGGACCCCCGGUGCUCUGUGAUACACUUUCAACGAGUCGAGUUGUUUGGGAAUGCAGCUCAAAAUGGGUGGUGAAUUCCAUCUAAAGCUAAAUAUUGGCGAGAGACCGAUAGCGAACAAGUACCGUGAGGGAAAGAUGAAAAGCACUUUGGAAAGAGAGUUAAACAGUACGUGAAAUUGUUGAAAGGGAAACGAUUGAAGUCAGUCAUGCUCUUUGGUAUUUAUAUCAUUGAGUGGGGUCAACAUCAGUUUUGAUCGAUGGAUAAAGGCACUAGGAAGGUAGCACUCUCGGGUGAACUUAUAGCCUGGCGUCAUAUACAUUGAUUGGGACUGAGGAACGCAGCAUGCCUUUAUGGCCGGGAUUCGUCCACGUACAUGCUUAGGAUG